Puntigrus tetrazona (Sumatra barb) is the source of this 514-nucleotide long non-coding RNA. RefSeq lists it as uncharacterized. Lineage: Eukaryota; Metazoa; Chordata; Actinopteri; Cypriniformes; Cyprinidae. The transcript has 2 exons. The record is from RefSeq and is a predicted model, not a curated record.
UGUAAAAAUAAAGACAAAGGCUUAUAGUUCCACAUAAAAUUUCAGUGUAGGCAGUAAUGAUGUUUCACUAAGAAAUGAAAAUAUUAUUUGGAAAUCCAAUUCAGCACAGUGCACAUUUUUUUUGAUUUAGUUCUGAUUAGUUGCCCUUACUUAUCCUUAUCCUGGGUCUGUUUUUGCUAUCGUGCAAGUAUGAUCAGAUAGAGGUGGCCUUUCAAACUCGUGCACAGUGAGUGUGACAUUACACAAUCAUCUGCCAGCGUGCAUCGGUGAUAGCGACGACCGCGUGCUCGUGCAUCGGCGAAGGAAGUCAAAGGUGGGUCUAGUUCACCCUGGAUGAAGAAAAGAUUCGAGUUUGGUUUUGAUUCAUCGGUACUCACCCGAAGAGACGGAGGACCCCGACAGACUGGAGUUGCUUGACGCUGCCAUCGCGUCUAAUUCACCGAAUCCACCCGCUUACUGGCGUCUGUUAGGGCUUGACGGCUCUUCCAUCUCAGUCUCCGCUCUCCUGACCCGU